UAUUAUAUUUAUUAUUAUUGUUAUAGAUUUGAGGUGUAUUUGAAAUGAGCAAAUUAGAUUUUAUUAUAGGGUUAGAAAUAAGUCUAUUUAUUAUAGGGAAUUUUACCGUGAGGGAGUUAAUUUUAAAUUGUUUAAAGAAGUUUUUAUUUGGCGUACCUUGUGUAUCAGGGUUUAUUAAUUAAGACUUGGUUAUUUAUGUAUCUCGAAGUCAGAAGAGCUACAUUUAUAUUUAUAUUACUGUAGCAUAAGUAUUUAAAAUAUUAAUGUGGAAAUGAAAUGUUAUUCGUUUCUGAAUAUAUCUAGUUUUUUUAGAAAAAAAUUAAAUUUUUUUUGUUUAAAUAUUAAUAAGUUAAAUUUUUAAUUUAUUAUUAAGACAAUUUUAUAUUUUAGGGGAUAAGCUCUGAAAUAAAUAUUUAAAAGUAAUUAUUUUAUUGCUAGUGGUAGGGAUAGUAUUUUCCAUCAGUAUAAUUAUUUAAUAGUUGAUAUAGGGUUGAUUAUAAUUUUGGGUUGCUUUAAGUUUUAUAUAAAAAUGGUGAUUGAAACAGAGUAAAUUAAGAAAUAAUGAUAAAAUUAGUAUAGUGUCUUGUUAUUUUAAUUUAGAGUUGUUAGGUUAAUAGAAGGAACUCGGCAAAUAUAUUUUUUACCUGUUUAUUAAAAACAUGGCCUUUUGAUUAUAAUUUAAGGUCGUGCCUGCCCGCUGAUUUUUGAAGGGCCGCGGUAACUUGACUGUGCGAAGGUAGCAUAAUAAUUAGUUUUUUAAUUGAAAGCUGGAAUGAAUGGUUGGAUAAGAAAAUAACUGUCUCCUGUUUAAUUUUAUUAGAAAUUUAUUUUUAAGUAAAAAAGCUUAAAUUUAGUUAAUAGACGAGAAGACCCUGUAGAGUUUUAUAUGGUCUGGAUCCUUUGUUUUUAGAAUUAUUUUAGCUAAGAGGUCUUGAUUGUUAUUUGGUUGGGGCGAUUAAAAAAUUGGGAGAACUUUUUUAAAAUUGUAACAUUGAUUAGUGAGUAAGCGAUCCAUUUAUUAUGAUUGUAAGAUAAAAUUACCUUAGGGAUAACAGCGUAAUUUUUCUUAGAGUUCUGAUCGAAGGAAAAGUUUGCGACCUCGAUGUUGGAUUAAAGUUAAAUUUUGGCGAAGAAGCUAAAAAUUUAGGUCUGUUCGACCUGUGAUACUUUACAUGAUCUGAGUUUAAACCGGCGUGAGCCAGGUUGGUUUCUAUCUUUAAUAACUUAUAGUAUUCUAGUACGAAAGGACCGAAUAUUAAAAUUUAAUUUUAUUGUUUGAAUACUAUUA
RNAcentral lists this ribosomal RNA (1288 nucleotides) under Obrium sp. NS-2015. RNAcentral's name for it is "16S ribosomal RNA". The stretch from base 831 to 1224 matches the Rfam family "Bacterial large subunit ribosomal RNA", at positions 2049 to 2651 of the family's 2925-position model. The record is from RNAcentral. Lineage: Eukaryota; Metazoa; Arthropoda; Insecta; Coleoptera; Cerambycidae.